CCUACGGGAGGCAGCAGUGGGGAAUUUUGGACAAUGGGCGCAAGCCUGAUCCAGCAAUGCCGCGUGAGUGAAGAAGGCCUUCGGGUUGUAAAGCUCUUUUGUCAGGGAAGAAACGGUGGGGGCUAAUAUCUCCUACUAAUGACGGUACCUGAAGAAUAAGCACCGGCUAACUACGUGCCAGCAGCCGCGGUAAUACGUAGGGUGCAAGCGUUAAUCGGAAUUACUGGGCGUAAAGCGUGCGCAGGCGGUUUUGUAAGUCUGUCGUGAAAGCCCCGGGCUCAACCUGGGAAUUGCGAUGGAGACUGCAAGGCUUGAAUCUGGCAGAGGGGGGUAGAAUUCCACGUGUAGCAGUGAAAUGCGUAGAGAUGUGGAGGAACACCGAUGGCGAAGGCAGCCCCCUGGGUCAAGAUUGACGCUCAUGCACGAAAGCGUGGGGAGCAAACAGGAUUAGAUACCCUGGUAGUCCACGCCCUAAACGAUGUCUACUAGUUGUCGGGUUUUAAUUAACUUGGUAACGCAGCUAACGCGUGAGUAGACCGCCUGGGGAGUACGGUCGCGAAGAGUAAACGUUACGAAGUAAGUUAGAGGCGUUGAGAGNGCGACGGACGACGACGAGGGAGGAGG
Molecule: ribosomal RNA, 624 nt
Filed under: uncultured bacterium
Lineage: Bacteria
Description: bacterial SSU rRNA
Rfam family: Bacterial small subunit ribosomal RNA (bases 1-541)
Source: RNAcentral